This 274-nucleotide ribosomal RNA is filed under the name uncultured bacterium. RNAcentral describes it as "partial 16S ribosomal RNA". It matches the Rfam family "Bacterial small subunit ribosomal RNA", at positions 523 to 796 of the family's 1533-position model. The record is from RNAcentral.
AUACAGAGGGUGCAAGCGUUAAUCGGAAUUACUGGGCGUAAAGCGCACGUAGGCGGUUUUUUAAGUCAGAUGUGAAAGCCCCGGGCUCAACCUGGGAAUUGCAUUUGAAACUGGGGAACUAGAGUGUGUGAGAGGGGGGUAGAAUUCCAAGUGUAGCGGUGAAAUGCGUAGAGAUUUGGAGGAAUACCAGUGGCGAAGGCGGCCCCCUGGCACAACACUGACGCUCAGGUGCGAAAGCGUGGGGAGCAAACAGGAUUAGAUACCCUAGUAGUCC